UUUUGCCUACGGGACGCAGCAGUGGGGAAUAUUGCACAAUGGGGGGAACCCUGAUGCAGCAAUGCCGCGUGGGAGAAGAAGCACUCCGGUGCGUAAAGCCCUGUCAGCAGGGAAGAAAAUGACAGUACCUGGACAAGAAGCCCCGGCUAACUACGUGCCAGCAGCCGCGGUAAUACGUAGGGGGCAAGCGUUAUCCGGAUUUACUGGGUGUAAAGGGAGCGCAGGCGGCGUGGCAAGUCAGAUGUGAAAAACCGGGGCCCAACCCCGGGAGUGCAUUUGAAAAUGCCAUGCUGGAGUGCCGGAGG
RNAcentral lists this ribosomal RNA (305 nucleotides) under uncultured bacterium. Its description in RNAcentral is "bacterial SSU rRNA". It matches the Rfam family "Bacterial small subunit ribosomal RNA", at positions 333 to 655 of the family's 1533-position model. The record is from RNAcentral.